Molecule: ribosomal RNA, 727 nt
Filed under: uncultured bacterium
Lineage: Bacteria
Description: bacterial SSU rRNA
Rfam family: Bacterial small subunit ribosomal RNA
Source: RNAcentral
GGUAGUCCACGCCGUAAACGAUGUCGACUUGGAGGUUGUGCCCUUGAGGCGUGGCUUCCGGAGCUAACGCGUUAAGUCGACCGCCUGGGGAGUACGGCCGCAAGGUUAAAACUCAAAUGAAUUGACGGGGGCCCGCACAAGCGGUGGAGCAUGUGGUUUAAUUCGAUGCAACGCGAAGAACCUUACCUACUCUUGACAUCCAGAGAACUUAGCAGAGAUGCUUUGGUGCCUUCGGGAACUCUGAGACAGGUGCUGCAUGGCUGUCGUCAGCUCGUGUUGUGAAAUGUUGGGUUAAGUCCCGCAACGAGCGCAACCCUUAUCCUUUGUUGCCAGCGGUUAGGCCGGGAACUCAAAGGAGACUGCCAGUGAUAAACUGGAGGAAGGUGGGGAUGACGUCAAGUCAUCAUGGCCCUUACGAGUAGGGCUACACACGUGCUACAAUGGCGCAUACAAAGAGAAGCGACCUCGCGAGAGCAAGCGGACCUCAUAAAGUGCGUCGUAGUCCGGAUUGGAGUCUGCAACUCGACUCCAUGAAGUCGGAAUCGCUAGUAAUCGUAGAUCAGAAUGCUACGGUGAAUACGUUCCCGGGCCUCGUACACACCGCCCGUCACACCAUGGGAGUGGGUUGCAAAAGAAGUAGGUAGCUUAACCUUCGGGAGGGCGCUUACCACUUUGUGAUUCAUGACUGGGGUGAAGUCGUAACAAGGUAACCGUAGGGGAACCCUGC